Molecule: ribosomal RNA, 427 nt
Filed under: uncultured prokaryote
Description: bacterial SSU rRNA
Rfam family: Bacterial small subunit ribosomal RNA
Source: RNAcentral
UGGGGAAUUUUGGACAAUGGGCGCAAGCCUGAUCCAGCAAUGCCGCGUGCAGGAAGAAGGCCUUCGGGUUGUAAACUGCUUUUGUACGGAGCGAAAAGGCUUCCUCUAAUACAGGGGGUCCAUGACGGUACCGUAAGAAUAAGCACCGGCUAACUACGUGCCAGCAGCCGCGGUAAUACGUAGGGUGCGAGCGUUAAUCGGAAUUACUGGGCGUAAAGCGUGCGCAGGCGGUUUUGUAAGACAGGCGUGAAAUCCCCGGGCUCAACCUGGGAAUGGCGCUUGUGACUGCAAGGCUGGAGUGCGGCAGAGGGGGAUGGAAUUCCGCGUGUAGCAGUGAAAUGCGUAGAUAUGCGGAGGAACACCGAUGGCGAAGGCAAUCCCCUGGGCCUGCACUGACGCUCAUGCGCGAAAGCGUGGGGAGCAAACA